GACGAACGCUGGCGGCGUGCUUAACACAUGCAAGUCGAGCGGUAAGGCCCUUUCGGGGGUACGACGAGCGGCGAACGGGUGAGUAACACGUGGGUGACCUGCCCUUACGCUCUGGGAUAAGCCUGGGAAACGUGGGUCUAAUACCGGAUAUGACUCCAUAACGCAUGUUGUGGGGUGGAAAGCCUUGUGCGGCUAGGGAUGGGCCCGCGGCCUAUCAGCUUGUUGGUGGGGUGAUGGCCACCAAGGCGACGACGGGUAGCCGGCCUGAGAGGGCGACCGGCCACACUGGGACUGAGACACGGCCCAGACUCCUACGGGAGGCAGCAGUGGGGAAUCUUGCGCAAUGGGCGAAAGCCUGACGCAGCGACGCCGCGUGGGGGAGU
RNAcentral lists this ribosomal RNA (383 nucleotides) under uncultured bacterium. RNAcentral's name for it is "bacterial SSU rRNA". It matches the Rfam family "Bacterial small subunit ribosomal RNA", at positions 28 to 410 of the family's 1533-position model. The record is from RNAcentral.